AGUGAACGCUGGCGGUAGGCCUAACACAUGCAAGUCGAACGGCAGCACAGGAGAGCUUGCUCUCUGGGUGGCGAGUGGCGGACGGGUGAGGAAUACAUCGGAAUCUACUCUGUCGUGGGGGAUAACGUAGGGAAACUUACGCUAAUACAUCAUACGACCUACGGGGGAAAGCAGGGGAUCUUCGGACCUUGGGCGAUUGAAUGAGCCGAUGUCGGAUUAGCUCGUUGGCGGGGUAAAGGCCCACCAAGGCGACGAUCCGUAGCUGGUCUGAGAGGAUGAUCAGCAACACUGGAACUGAGACACGGUACAGACUCCUACGGGAGGCAGCAGUGGGGAAUAUUGGACAAUGGGCGCAAGCCUGAUCCAGCCAUACCGCGUGGGUGAAGAAGGCCUUCGGGUUGUAAAGCCCUUUUGCUGGGAAAGAAAUCCAGCUGGCUAAUACCCGGUUGGGAUGACGGUACCCAAAGAAUAAGCACCGGCUAACUUCGUGCCAGCCGCCGCGGUAA
This 506-nucleotide ribosomal RNA is filed under the name uncultured bacterium. RNAcentral's name for it is "partial 16S ribosomal RNA". It matches the Rfam family "Bacterial small subunit ribosomal RNA", at positions 29 to 523 of the family's 1533-position model. The record is from RNAcentral.